AAGGAUAUAUUCGGAACAUCUUCUUCGAAGAUGAAAGGGAUUAACGUGACAUAUUGUAUUCAGUUUUGAAUGUUUAUUAACAUUCAAAUUUGUACAUUGAAAACUAGAUAAGUAAGUAAAUAGAUUUUACCAAGCAAAACCGAGUGAAUAGAGUUUUAAAUAAGCUUGAAUUCAUAAAAAUAAUCGCUAGUGUUCGAAAGAACACUCACAAGAUUAAUAACGCGUUUCCUGGUGGAAACAYA
This 242-nucleotide unclassified non-coding RNA is filed under the name Staphylococcus capitis. RNAcentral describes it as "16S-23S ribosomal RNA intergenic spacer". The record is from RNAcentral. Lineage: Bacteria; Bacillati; Bacillota; Bacilli; Caryophanales; Staphylococcaceae.